Molecule: ribosomal RNA, 440 nt
Filed under: uncultured bacterium
Lineage: Bacteria
Description: partial 16S ribosomal RNA
Rfam family: Bacterial small subunit ribosomal RNA
Source: RNAcentral
CCUACGGGAGGCAGCAGUGGGGGAUAUUGCACAAUGGGGGGAACCCUGAUGUAGCGACGCCGCGUGGGCGAUGGAGUGCUUCGGCUUGUAAAGCCCUAUCGGCAGGGAAGAAAAUGACGGUACCUGACUAAGAAGCCCCGGCUAAAUCCGUGCCAGCAGCCGCGGUAAUACGUAUGGUGCAAGCGUUAUCCGGAUUUACUGGGUGUAAAGAGAGCGUAGGCGGCCUGGCAAGCCGGAUGUGAAAUACCGGGGCCCAACCCCGGGGCUGCAUUGGGAACUGCCAGGCUGGAGUGCCGGAGAGGCAGGCGGAAUUCCUAGUGUAGGGGUGAAAUGCGUAGAUAUUAGGAGGAAUACCAGUGGCGAAGGCGGCCUGCUGGACGGUGACUGACGCUGAGGCUCGAAAGCGCGGGUAGCGAACAGGAUUAGAUACCCUUGUAGUC